GACGAACGCUGGCGGCGUGCUUAACACAUGCAAGUCGAACGAUGAAGCUGGAGCUUGCUCCGGUGGAUUAGUGGCGAACGGGUGAGUAACACGUGAGCAAUCUGCCCUUGACUCUGGGAUAACUGCGGGAAACUGUAGCUAAUACCGGAUACUUUCACUGGAAGGCAUCUUCUGGUGAAGAAAGAAUUUCGGUCAAGGAUGAGCUCGCGGCCUAUCAGCUUGUUGGUGAGGUAACGGCUCACCAAGGCGACGACGGGUAGCCGGCCUGAGAGGGUGACCGGCCACACUGGGACUGAGACACGGCCCAGACUCCUACGGGAGGCAGCGGUGGGGAAUAUUGCACAAUGGGCGCAAGCCUGAUGCAGAAACGCCGCGUGAGGGAUGAAGGCCUUCGGGUUGUAAACCUCUUUUAGCAGGGAAGAAGCGAAAGUGACGGUACCUGCAGAAAAAGCACCGGCUAACUACGUGCCAGCCGCCGCGGUAA
Molecule: ribosomal RNA, 484 nt
Filed under: uncultured bacterium
Lineage: Bacteria
Description: partial 16S ribosomal RNA
Rfam family: Bacterial small subunit ribosomal RNA
Source: RNAcentral